Triticum aestivum (bread wheat) is the source of this 2407-nucleotide long non-coding RNA. RefSeq lists it as uncharacterized. The transcript has 2 exons. The record is from RefSeq and is a predicted model, not a curated record. NCBI's taxonomy places the organism in Eukaryota, Viridiplantae, Streptophyta, Magnoliopsida, Poales, Poaceae.
UACGGAUCGUGGCAGAGUUCUUCCAAUCACCUAUGCCGUGCGCAGCCAGGGCGGUUCCCAUUCUCGGGAGGCCAGCGGCAGGGGUCACUCUUCCCUACGGGCUACGGCCGUGAGCUGGAUACGGUGGUCGGGUAGAAGCGGAGGAGGUCUUUCCCGUUGACGGGAUUCAGUUCAACGGUAGCGGCGCUGCCGGGUCUAACCGCAACCUCAUCGCUAGGGCGGUGCUCGUCCACGUCGCAGCACUACGCGCCGGGGUCAGCACUACCCACGCCUCCCGCUCUCUCCACCGGCUUCGUCGUGUAAUCCUGCAACAGCAAGCUGGUGCAAGAGGUUAGUGAGGUCUCUAUAGGAGAGGCGCUGACAUGUUGGUCUUGUGUCUCCUCUAGUCAUCCCCCAUUCUCGCGACCCCGCGAUUGAAUCUAGAUCCGGAGAUUUCACGGGCUGCCGACGAGUCGCCAUAGUUUAACUGCAAUCGGUCUCAUCUGUAAGUUUUGUCACUGCCUCUACCUCAUGCGCCCAUAAGCUCGUGCUCCGCCCUGCCUCUCCGUACCUGGCCGCCUCCAUCGCCUCUCACGGCAUCCCUACCUAUUUUGAUAGACUGCAAUUUGUUUCUGUCAUGAAUAAUGCAUUAGAAUAUUUUGUGUGUGAUGAACUUGACAUCUACGGGUAUAUGGUAAAUUGUGGUAAGGUAAUUCCAUGUAAAGUGAUCCCUUUAGCCUAUUCAAAUGAGAGCAGAAGGAGACGACCAUGUUAUGUGAAAUUAAAAAAUUUAUGUCAAGGCCUUAUAAUAUUAGAGCAAUCAAUGCAUAUCUUUCUGAAAAGGAGAAGAGUAUCAGUAGCUCAAUUUGUCGAGUGCACAGUCCAACAUUAUCUCAGUUGUAUUUUUUAGUUGUUGUUUGGGAACUGUAAUAUCAUAUCUGAAGGUUAAAGUGACUCUCAAUUAAUACGAUGACCAUGUUCUUGUUGUAUUUCAGUUAUGUGUGCAAAUCAGAUUUUGAGUUCUCCUGGUUUAAUUAAGAACCAGAUCAGUUAUGUAUUCAUCCACUCUCCUCUUUCUUUUUGUGAUCACUGAAAAAGCUUGGUCUAUUUGACGUGAAAAAGAUGGCAGAAUGUGUAACCAUGAUAUUUUCCUAACAUCAAAUUGAUUUGGUUGCAGGAUUCAUUCGGCACCACAUGUAGAUGCAUCGUGAACAAAGGUUCAUUUAUGGAUUUCUAGAAGAUAAAAAAAGGAAUAUUUGUGUCUACCGGCCUGCAUUAUGCUUUAAAAUGUGUUUGCUCAUAUCAAAAAGAUUUUGGUCAAGAAAAAAGUAGAGUUUAUCUCCUCCGUUACGUUGAAUCAAGUUUUAGAACAAAAUUAAUUGAUAUUUAGUUUGCAUCCAAAAUUUUCCUUUAGUUUUACAUAGUGUUGUUGUGAUGCAUGUAACUGGGUAUGAGAAGAAACUCUUGUUCUGUUGUUCAUAUAAUUCCUUGCUUACAUUUUUCUGUCCAUUUUGCAUAUUAAUAGCUCUUGCUUUUUAAUAGGUCAUCGAGUUUCUUUGUGACAACUGCAGUUUUGCACAUUUCUAAAUUAUUCUCUUGAUAUGAAGGGCAUGGAAAUAAGAGAUCAAAUUUUCCUUCUCAUUCUCAUGCGACUCCUGAUAUUUGACCUAUCAGCUAUGUGCAUCUGGGCUUUCAUACAUGUUAUUUAGCUUACGGUGAGAUCUGCAUCUUUGUAUUGCAGGUGGUUGUCAAUCUGCUUUUUCUAACAACAUUGGGAAGGGUGCUCUUAGGCGAUGUUGUUCCUUAUGCUGAUAGUUCCAGUAUUCCACCACACUUGUUGAUAUUACUUGUGUAGGCUUACUUCAGAAGUUCAGCUCCCUUCUUGGGUUCCCGUAGAGGAAGAGACUCUCAUCUCCUCUUAGCUGCAAUGGACGAGUCAAUAUGCCCUAGGAAGUUGUGGACAUCGUAGGUGUGUCCACCUUAUCAUGGUGCGUGCAUCCAUGAUAGAGACAAGUGAAUCAAGUAAUUCGGUAUGAACUUCUUGAGUGCAUGGGGUACUAAAGGUGCAACAACAUCAAGGACUGUGCCACGAGGAACAGUUGGAGCGGUCGUGGAAACAUCGGGGAUGCUUAUCAUCACCCAUGAGGACGGACACAACCACGUGCAGCUGCUCUACUUGUCGGUGCUCACCGCAAAUUCUAAAGCCUGACUGAAGCUACGAAUGGCAAAAGACGAUAGAAGAACUCUAAAUUUUUAUGCCAUGAUGGAACAGAUCAUUUAGCUACUCUUUGGUUAUUUAGUCUGACAAAAGAUCAGAAUGCAAGUGAAAUUUGUAACACCAAGGCAAAUAUUUUCCCGCUAUAUUUUUCAUGAUGUAUAAUAGAUAGUACUUGAUUGGGGUGCAAUACAUUUACCUUUUGAAAUAUUC